This is a long non-coding RNA of Panicum virgatum (switchgrass), 921 nucleotides long. RefSeq lists it as uncharacterized. The record is from RefSeq and is a predicted model, not a curated record. The transcript is spliced from 3 exons. Lineage: Eukaryota; Viridiplantae; Streptophyta; Magnoliopsida; Poales; Poaceae.
UUCUAGAUCUGUCGUCUCCCUCCCUCAGGCUCUGUCGUGUCUCGCCCGGUGGCGGAUGCGGCAGCGGAGUGCGGCGUCGGCAGCCGGCGGAUCACCGGGUAGGUGCGCUCCGUGUUGCACUAGGUACGCAGAUCACCGGCGGUAGCGGCGCGCGGCGUCGGCGACCGGCGGCAAAAGCUGCAGAGCCAGGAGGAGAAGCAGAGGGGUCGGCGGGCGGGCAGCGCAGGCGGCGGCGAAUGUUGCCGGAAGUGGUCACGGCGCACAGCGUCGACGGCAAACUGUCCACCUGCUACGAGCGCUUCCUCCUCAACUCCAUCGGCCGGCGGGAGCAGUUGAGCUGCACAUAAUGCUGAUGGCAGAGAGUACUCCCCUCGAUGCCCUUGCAUCGGCAGUGACGGAGAUGGAUAGAGUAGCAGACAAGUUGCGGAAGCAUGUUACCGAGGCCAGGGCCGCAGAUUGUACCAAGAACCAAGAGCUUGAGAAAGCACUUACUCAGGUAGAGGUUUUAGCUGAGUCGCUCGAGCAAUUUGCAUUCCUCUGCCAGGAGGUGGUUGUGAAGAACUCCCCGCCAGAUCAUGAGGAGAUAACCUCUACGGAUGAGAGGGAGGCUGCUGAAAGGCAAUGGGAGUUCGAACAUCCUAUACCACCUCAAACUCUUGCGGAGCACUGCGAGUAGCACGGCUUGAACUAUGACAGUGAUCAGUCUAGGGGAAUCAACUAGGUGAAUUUUGCCUACGUGCCUAGUGUGACUGUUUUCAGUAGUGUUUUAGGUGUAUGUACUGUACUGUGAAUGUUGCCUAAGUGCCUAAGUGCCUAAGUGUGUCAUGUGAAUGUUGCCUAAGUGCCUAAGUGGCUGCUGUGAAUAUUGUUGUACUGUCAUGACAGGGAAUGCUUAAGCUAUGUUCGGACUAAAACUUCUUA